This 229-nucleotide ribosomal RNA is filed under the name uncultured bacterium. Its description in RNAcentral is "partial 16S ribosomal RNA". It matches the Rfam family "Bacterial small subunit ribosomal RNA", at positions 568 to 796 of the family's 1533-position model. The record is from RNAcentral.
UCCGUAGGCGGGAAGAUAAGUCAGUGGUGAAAGCCUGUGGCUCAACCAUAGAAUUGCCAUCGAUACUGUCUUUCUUGAGUGCACAUGAUGUGGGCGGAAUGUGUCGUGUAGCGGUGAAAUGCUUAGAUAUGACACAGAACACCGAUUGCGAAGGCAGCUCACAAAAGUGUAACUGACGCUGAGGGACGAAAGCGUGGGGAGCGAACAGGAUUAGAUACCCUGGUAGUCC